GUCUUCAAGGGUGAUAGGAUUGUAAUAAGAGGGAGUGGUUGAGGAGUCAUCUUUAUCAGAUGGUGGGAUCUGUUGCAUCUCGGGAGGCCGAGGUGCUUGCUUCAGCCUUGGAGGAUCAGUCGGAGGUUCAAUCGAUGCAAAUUAGACAGCUAAUGGUGUAUUUGUCGGAUUUGCCUGUUGUGGGGUCGUCGAAUCAUAGGGAGGUG
Molecule: long non-coding RNA, 206 nt
Filed under: Elaeis guineensis (African oil palm)
Lineage: Eukaryota; Viridiplantae; Streptophyta; Magnoliopsida; Arecales; Arecaceae
Description: long non-coding RNA (EGUI_LNC052052)
Source: RNAcentral